CCAGCCACACCUCACCUCCUCACCUGUGGCUAAGAACCUUCCCAAGGUUACUUUUGAAACAAAGUUCUCCUUCCGCGAAGUGAUGAAAUCAGUGUCUCCGUCUCUGGAAGAGAAAACAAAAGAGUUUCACCAGGCAAUACUUAAAGUCACGGGCUUCAUGAAGGGGGACACGGUCAAACUGAGGUCCGUCAGGAGACCGUACUCUAGAUACAGGUACAACCAAAACACUGAGGCGAAAGAGUCGAUCAGAGCUCAGGAGAUAGAGGUGAGUCGAGUGAGACAGAAGCAGCUAGAGCUGAAGAUCGCUAAGCUAAGCAACUCCAUCCAAUUGAGUGGUGUGGGUGAGGUAACAGGGCUCGAUACCGUGACCGUACACUUUCCUGAGCACCCUGGUUGGAAGGGGAGUUCUUCUGAGCUGGAACUGAGAGAAAGAAAGAUCCAUGAUAAUAAUGAUGAUAAUAAUCUCUGACAUAUUUUCUUUCCCUGACAUUUAUUUUGUACCGACCAAAACCACCCUGUCCCUCUAUCCUAAUGCUCUGCUGAUGCUCUAUGCAAAUACCUUCGACAUUUAUUUUAUGUAACAUUAUGAACCGCUGCAAAGAUCACAUCUUGAAAAUCAUUCAUGAAUCGAUUACCUCGCUCUUCUUUCUGCCUUUGUUAGCGUGUAACAAUCUCACAAUAGCUCACAAUGGUGCAUGUCACUUUGGCAGUGUCACAGUAGAGUGGAAUUUAUUAACACAAUGCAGCCUAGACUUUCCUGAGCUCUCUGGUUGGCAGUGGAGUUCUUCUGAGCUGGAACUGGUAUACAAGAUAAAUAAAGAUCCAUGAUCACUUACUUAUCUACUUCCCCUGAUGUUUAUUUUCGACCGACCAAAACCAUCCUGUCCCUCUAUGCAAAUGCUCUGCUGAUGUUCUAUGCAAAUACCUUUGGCCUUUAUUGUAUGUAACAUUAUGAAAAGCUGCAAAGAUCCCAUCUUGAAAUCAUUCAUGGAUCGAUUUCUUCACUCUUCUUUCUGCCUUUGUUAGCGUGCAACAAUCUCCAUAUUAUGAUCUCACAAUAGUGCAUGUCACUUUUGCAGUGUCACAGUAGAGUGGGAUUUAUUAACAAUGCAGCCUAUAUGUCAAUGCGACAAUGCCUUUGUUUCUUGCUCAUUAAGUUUCAUCUAUAGAAGACUUGUGACCUGUUAAUCAGUUAAAGACUUACGUUGUUCUUUAAAUACAUUUUGUUGUCAUGUAAGGGUAGGUGUCAAGUAAUGCACAUUAUAUAUCACAGCUUUAUCAGUGCCGAUGUUGGAGUAUAUUUCACCUUGAGGCUUUAUGAAUAAACAAAUGAAUGCAUUGAUUCUUGUUUGUUUAUGUUGUGUUUUACUUUUUUUUACUAAUGUUAGAAGCUGGUUAGCUAGGAGCAGUAGCUUGGCUUGCUAUUUACUGGUAGAUGAACCGAUUCAUCAAUCACAGGAUGACUUCUCUUCAUGGUGUUCAGGGGUUUAGAAAGUGUAGCUUUUUUUGCAUGUGACUGGUGUAAUAUGUUUUAAUUUCAGGCUGUAAGGCAACAAAGGGUGGACGUUUUGAAACUG
This is a long non-coding RNA of Clupea harengus (Atlantic herring), 1577 nucleotides long. The record is from Ensembl. NCBI's taxonomy places the organism in Eukaryota, Metazoa, Chordata, Actinopteri, Clupeiformes, Clupeidae.